GACGAACGCUUGCGGCGUGCUUAACACAUGCAAGUCGAACGGAAAGGCCCUGCUUUUGUGGGGUGCUCGAGUGGCGAACGGGUGAGUAACACGUGAGUAACCUGCCCUUGACUUUGGGAUAACUUCAGGAAACUGGGGCUAAUACCGGAUAGGAGCUCCUGCUGCAUGGUGGGGGUUGAAAAGUUUCGGCGGUUGGGGAUGGACUCGCGGCUUAUCAGCUUGUUGGUGGGGUAGUGGCUUACCAAGGCUUUGACGGGUAGCCGGCCUGAGAGGGUGACCGGCCACAUUGGGACUGAGAUACGGCCCAGACUCCUACGGGAGGCAGCAGUGGGGAAUAUUGCACAAUGGGCGGAAGCCUGAUGCAGCAACGCCGCGUGCGGGAUGACGGCCUUCGGGUUGUAAACCGCCUUCGCCUGUGACGAAGCGUGAGUGACGGUAAUGGGUAAAGAAGCACCGGCUAACUACGUGCCAGCAGCCGCGGUGAUACGUAGGGUGCGAGCGUUGUCCGGAUUUAUUGGGCGUAAAGGGCUCGUAGGUGGUUGAUCGCGUCGGAAGUGUAAUCUUGGGGCUUAACCCUGAGCGUGCUUUCGAUACGGGUUGACUUGAGGAAGGUAGGGGAGAAUGGAAUUCCUGGUGGAGCGGUGGAAUGCGCAGAUAUCAGGAGGAACACCAGUGGCGAAGGCGGUUCUCUGGGCCUUUCCUGACGCUGAGGAGCGAAAGCGUGGGGAGCGAACAGGCUUAGAUACCCUGGUAGUCCACGCUGUAAACGGUGGGUACUAGGUGUGGGGUCCAUUCCACGGGUUCCGUGCCGUAGCUAACGCUUUAAGUACCCCGCCUGGGGAGUACGGCCGCAAGGCUAAAACUCAAAGGAAUUGACGGGGCCCCGCACAAGCGGCGGAGCAUGCGGAUUAAUUCGAUGCAACGCGUAGAACCUUACCUGGGUUUGACAUGGAUCGGGAGUGCUCAGAGAUGGGUGUGCCUCUUUUGGGGUCGGUUCACAGGUGGUGCAUGGCUGUCGUCAGCUCGUGUCGUGAGAUGUUGGGUUAAGUCCCGCAACGAGCGCAACCCUUGUUCACUGUUGCCAGCACGUUAUGGUGGGGACUCAGUGGAGACCGCCGGGGUCAACUCGGAGGAAGGUGGGGAUGACGUCAAGUCAUCAUGCCCCUUAUGUCCAGGGCUUCACGCAUGCUACAAUGGCUGGUACAGAGAGUGGCGAGCCUGUGAGGGUGAGCGAAUCUCGGAAAGCCGGUCUCAGUUCGGAUUGGGGUCUGCAACUCGACCUCAUGAAGUCGGAGUCGCUAGUAAUCGCAGAUCAGCAACGCUGCGGUGAAUACGUUCCCGGGGCU
Molecule: ribosomal RNA, 1346 nt
Filed under: uncultured bacterium
Lineage: Bacteria
Description: partial 16S ribosomal RNA
Rfam family: Bacterial small subunit ribosomal RNA
Source: RNAcentral